CUUUAUGGCGGGCGGUGCGUGGGGGCCUUUGGGUCCGCCGGUCCUAUGACGCUACAUCAUCCCCGGUUUGCAGCCACGCAUCGUCCGCCACCCCA
This 95-nucleotide non-coding RNA is filed under the name Stenotrophomonas indicatrix. Lineage: Bacteria; Pseudomonadati; Pseudomonadota; Gammaproteobacteria; Lysobacterales; Lysobacteraceae. The record is from RNAcentral.